This 389-nucleotide ribosomal RNA is filed under the name uncultured bacterium. RNAcentral's name for it is "bacterial SSU rRNA". It matches the Rfam family "Bacterial small subunit ribosomal RNA", at positions 28 to 417 of the family's 1533-position model. The record is from RNAcentral.
AAUGAACGCUGGCGGCGUGCUUAACACAUGCAAGUCGAGCGGUAAGGCCCUUUCGGGGGUACGACGAGCGGCGAACGGGUGAGUAACACGUGGGUGACCUGCCCUCAGCUCUGGGAUAAGCCUGGGAAACCGGGUCUAAUACUGGAUAUGACUCCAUGACGCAUGUUGUGGGGUGGAAAGCCUUGUGCGGCUGAGGAUGGGCCCGCGGCCUAUCAGCUUGUUGGUGGGGUGAUGGCCUACCAAGGCGACGACGGGUAGCCGGCCUGAGAGGGCGACCGGCCACACUGGGACUGAGACACGGCCCAGACUCCUACGGGAGGCAGCAGUGGGGAAUCUUGCGCAAUGGGCGAAAGCCUGACGCAGCGACGCCGCGUGAGGGAUGACGGCCU